CUUGACAUCCAGCGAACUUUCCAGAGAUGGAUUGGUGCCUUCGGGAACGCUGAGACAGGUGCUGCAUGGCUGUCGUCAGCUCGUGUUGUGAAAUGUUGGGUUAAGUCCCGCAACGAGCGCAACCCUUUAUCCUUUGUUGCCAGCGAUUCGGUCGGGAACUCAAAGGAGACUGCCGGUGAUAAACCGGAGGAAGGUGGGGAUGACGUCAAGUCAUCAUGGCCCUUACGAGUAGGGCUACACACGUGCUACAAUGGCGCAUACAAAGAGAAGCGACCUCGCGAGAGCAAGCGGACCUCAUAAAGUGCGUCGUAGUCCGGAUCGGAGUCUGCAACUCGACUCCGUGAAGUCGGAAUCGCUAGUAAUCGUGGAUCAGAAUGCCACGGUGAAUACGUUCCCGGGCCUUGUACACACCGCCCGUCACACCAUGGGAGUGGGUUGCAAAAGAAGUAGGUAGCUUAACCCUCGGGAGGGCGCUUACCACUUUGUGAUUCAUGACUGGGGUGAAGUCGUAACAAGGUAGGCGUAGUGCU
Molecule: ribosomal RNA, 530 nt
Filed under: uncultured bacterium
Lineage: Bacteria
Description: bacterial SSU rRNA
Rfam family: Bacterial small subunit ribosomal RNA
Source: RNAcentral